ACGAACGCUGGCGGCGUGCUUAACACAUGCAAGUCGAACGGAAAGGCCCUGCUUUUGUGGGGUGCUCGAGUGGCGAACGGGUGAGUAACACGUGAGUAACCUGCCCUUGACUUUGGGAUAACUUCAGGAAACUGGGGCUAAUACCGGAUAGUAGCUCCUGCUGCCUGGUGGGGGUUGGAAAGUUUCGGCGGUUGGGGAUGGACUCGCGGCUUAUCAGCUUGUUGGUGGGGUAGUGGCUUACCAAGGCUUUGACGGGUAGCCGGCCUGAGAGGGUGACCGGCCACAUUGGGACUGAGAUACGGCCCAGACUCCUACGGGAGGCAGCAGUGGGGAAUAUUGCACAAUGGGCGGAAGCCUGAUGCAGCAACGCCGCGUGCGGGAUGACGGCCUUCGGGUUGUAAACCGCUUUCGCCUGUGACGAAGCGUGAGUGACGGUAAUGGGUAAAGAAGCACCGGCUAACUACGUG
Molecule: ribosomal RNA, 467 nt
Filed under: uncultured bacterium
Lineage: Bacteria
Description: partial 16S ribosomal RNA
Rfam family: Bacterial small subunit ribosomal RNA
Source: RNAcentral